Molecule: long non-coding RNA, 1166 nt
Filed under: Sus scrofa (pig)
Lineage: Eukaryota; Metazoa; Chordata; Mammalia; Artiodactyla; Suidae
Description: lncRNA (ENSSSCG00050040179.1)
Source: RNAcentral
GCACCAUGACUGCGGGGGGUCCCCUUCGGGAGGUGUCACAUGAAGCCGUCCUGCAGACCCCUGCCCUCUGGGGAGGCAGGACGCACAAACGAGCGACUGAGUCCAUCACGAGCUUGGGCAGAGCAGGGGCAACGGAGCCCAGGAAAGAGCGCUUUACAGUGAAGGAUCACAUCCUUUUGUCUGUAACGGAUUUCCACCUCCUGACGGGGCUCAGAGCCCUCAGGGUCCUGGUCGCAGGCGGACGUUCUGUCGUCUGAGUUAUGCUACGGCGUGGUGUCAGCGUGGCUACAAAGCGACAGUCUGGAUGCUGCCGAGCAGCAGCGCAGAAAGGAGGCGGCACAGGAGGAACGGUCAGAGGUUUCCUCCUUCUUCAAAAAAAAAAAAGAAAAAAAAAAAGAAAAAGAAAAAAAAGCUAGCCUCUUGUGUGGCUGAAAUGGAACUCAGUGUCACUGAGAAACAAGCCUCCUUUAUACGCAGCCCAGGAACAAUGUGUUUAUUUAUUUAUUUUUAACAGUCGCGAGUUACAGUAUUCCGCACCCUCCACGCACUCUUUGCAACCACAUGUCCUUUUCAAAAGUCUCUUUUUCCCAAACAUUCCAUCCAAAGGAUGAAUGGUCUCUUUGCACCAGUAACAUCCAAAUGUUCAAGUCAAAAAUAUGUGUACAUUUUAUACUUAGUUCUUUUUUUUUUUUUUGUCUGCUAAAAAUAGUAUUGCAAGUUUUGGCUUCUUUUGACAUAAAAAUUACAAUCAUGUGCGAAACGCUAACAAUGAAGCGAUUGAUCAGAAUUCAAGCAGGUUGUCCAAUCUGAAUGUGUUAUAGAUUCUGCAUAAUUUUUCUUUUCAUUUUUUUUUUCCAGCGAAACAAAACAAACACACACACAAACAAAAACCAGAAACCCUUGCCAUGUCAGAAACAUCUUGUACCGAGCCCCCGCGCUCUCCGGCCGCCAGCGGGUGACACGCUCGCCCGGGGCUGGCUGGCUGACAGAGUGACAAAUUCCCGCAGCAGCAACGUUCGGAAACAGUAGUUAAAGCUCAAGACAGCUAUGCACUCUCCAUUCUGCAUUGAGGAUUUACCGCUGCAGAGGCAAAAAAGCAGGUUUUCUCGGAGUUCUCGGUUGGUGAACGGGCCAGAGGCCUUUUUCUACUUGUAGCAAGCUAUUUC